AUGGUGUCAAAUUUGGAAGUUAUCUUGUCCGGCAAAAGUAAAAAAAUUAUAUGGCAUACAUUACCUGGCACCCUCCCAUGCCGGGUAACACUCGCUAACACACACAUGAAGGUCUCGCCCUUUUGUCCUAAUUGCUCUCAAGGUUUAGAAGAUACAAAACACAUGCUUUUCCUCUGUAGUAAAGCAAAGGAGGUUUGGAAGAAACUAGGGAUGGAUGAGAUUAUUGAUAAAGCUUGUGAGGUUGACCGUGCUGGGGAGGCGAUAUUGGAAUACCUUCUACUUCUUCCUGACCAAGAUUUGAGUAUUAUGAGGUACCAAAAUGUACAAGAAAUGAUAGCCAUUUCAGCUUGGUAUCUAUGGUGGGAAAGGAGAAAAUUAGUUGUCACAUCCCUAGUUCUGGUAUGA
Molecule: ribosomal RNA, 405 nt
Filed under: Triticum aestivum (bread wheat)
Lineage: Eukaryota; Viridiplantae; Streptophyta; Magnoliopsida; Poales; Poaceae
Description: partial small subunit ribosomal RNA
Source: RNAcentral